Molecule: ribosomal RNA, 206 nt
Filed under: uncultured bacterium
Lineage: Bacteria
Description: partial 16S ribosomal RNA
Rfam family: Bacterial small subunit ribosomal RNA
Source: RNAcentral
CUCAGUUCGGAUUGGAGUCUGCAACCCGACUCCAUGAAGCUGGAUUCGCUAGUAAUCGCGCAUCAGCCACGGCGCGGUGAAUACGUUCCCGGGCCUUGUACACACCGCCCGUCAAGCCAUGAAAGCCGGGGGUACCUGAAGUCCGUAACCGUAAGGAGCGGCCUAGGGUAAAACUGGUAAUUGGGGCUAAGUCGUAACAAGGUACC